This 1271-nucleotide ribosomal RNA is filed under the name Psychrobacter fozii. Its description in RNAcentral is "bacterial SSU rRNA". It matches the Rfam family "Bacterial small subunit ribosomal RNA", at positions 85 to 1354 of the family's 1533-position model. Lineage: Bacteria; Pseudomonadati; Pseudomonadota; Gammaproteobacteria; Moraxellales; Moraxellaceae. The record is from RNAcentral.
CAGGCGUCGAGCGGCGGACGGGUGAGUAAUACUUAGGAAUCUACCUAGUAGUGGGGGAUAGCACGGGGAAACUCGUAUUAAUACCGCAUACGACCUACGGGAGAAAGGGGGCAGUUUACUGCUCUCGCUAUUAGAUGAGCCUAAGUCGGAUUAUCUAGAUGGUGGGGUAAAGGCCUACCAUGGCGACAAUCUGUAGCUGGUCUGAGAGGAUGAUCAUCCACCCCGGGACUGAGACACGGCCCGGACUCCUACGGGAGGCAGCAGUGGGGAAUAUUGGACAAUGGGGGAAACCCUGAUCCAGCCAUGCCGCGUGUGUGAAGAAGGCCUUUUGGUUGUAAAGCACUUUAAGCAGUGAAGAAGACUCCGUGGUUAAUACCCACGGACGAUGACAUUAGCUGCAGAAUAAGCACCGGCUAACUCUGUGCCAGCAGCCGCGGUAAUACAGAGGGUGCAAGCGUUAAUCGGAAUUACUGGGCGUAAAGGGAGCGUAGGUGGCUCUAUAAGUCAGAUGUGAAAUCCCCGGGCUCAACCUGGGAACUGCAUCUGAAACUGUACAGCUAGAGUAUGUGAGAGGAAGGUAGAAUUCCAGGUGUAGCGGUGAAAUGCGUAGAGAUCUGGAGGAAUACCGAUGGCGAAGGCAGCCUUCUGGCAUAAUACUGACACUGAGGCUCGAAAGCGUGGGUAGCAAACAGGAUUAGAUACCCUGGUAGUCCACGCCGUAAACGAUGUCUAAUAGUCGUUGGGUCCCUUGAGGACUUAGUGACGCAGCUAACGCAAUAAGUAGACCGCUUGGGGAGUACGGCCGCAAGGUUAAAACUCAAAUGAAUUGACGGGGGCCCGCACAAGCGGUGGAGCAUGUGGUUUAAUUCGAUGCAACGCGAAGAACCUUACCUGGUCUUGACAUAUCUAGAAUCCUGCAGAGAUGCGGGAGUGCCUUCGGGAAUUAGAAUACAGGUGCUGCAUGGCUGUCGUCAGCUCGUGUCGUGAGAUGUUGGGUUAAGUCCCGCAACGAGCGCAACCCUUGUCCUUAGUUACCAGCGGGUUAAGCCGGGAACUCUAAGGAUACUGCCAGUGACAAACUGGAGGAAGGCGGGGACGACGUCAAGUCAUCAUGGCCCUUACGACCAGGGCUACACACGUGCUACAAUGGUAGGUACAGAGGGCAGCUACACAGCGAUGUGAUGCGAAUCUCAAAAAGCCUAUAGUAGUCCAGAUUGGAGUUUGCAACUCGACUCCAUGAAGUAGGAAUCGCUAGUAAUCGCGGAUCAGAA